UCGGGAAUUUUGCACAAUGGCCGAAAGGCUGAUGCAGCAACGCCGCGUGAGCGAAGAAGGCCUUCGGGUUGUAAAGCUCUGUUGCCUGCGAAGAAGGGCCCUGUCAGGAAAUGGGCGGGGUUUGACGGUAGCAGGCGAGGAAGCCCCGGCAAACUACGUGCCAGCAGCCGCGGUAAUACGUAGUGGGCGAGCGUUGUCCGGAAUUACUGGGCGUAAAGGGCGUGUAGGCGGCCUGUUAAGUCAGGGGUGAAAGACCGGGGCUCAACACCGGGGUUGCCUCUGAAACUGGCGAGCUUGAGUGCUCUAGAGGGCAGUGGAAUUCCCGGUGUAGCAGUGAAAUGCGUAGAGAUCGGGAGGGACACCAGUGGCGAAGGCGGAAGCCUGGGGAGUCACUGUCGAUGAGGCGCGAAAGCUAGGGGAGCAAACAGG
Molecule: ribosomal RNA, 429 nt
Filed under: bacterium
Lineage: Bacteria
Description: partial 16S ribosomal RNA
Rfam family: Bacterial small subunit ribosomal RNA
Source: RNAcentral